RNAcentral lists this ribosomal RNA (460 nucleotides) under uncultured bacterium. Its description in RNAcentral is "partial 16S ribosomal RNA". It matches the Rfam family "Bacterial small subunit ribosomal RNA", at positions 32 to 507 of the family's 1533-position model. The record is from RNAcentral.
AACGCUGGCGGCGUGCUUAACACAUGCAAGUCGAACGGUAAGGCCCUUUCGGGGGUACACGAGUGGCGAACGGGUGAGUAACACGUGGGUGAUCUGCCCUGCACUUUGGGAUAAGCCUGGGAAACUGGGUCUAAUACCGGAUAGGACUACGCGAUGCAUGUCGUGUGGUGGAAAGCUUUUGCGGUGUGGGAUGGGCCCGCGGCCUAUCAGCUUGUUGGUGGGGUGAUGGCCUACCAAGGCGACGACGGGUAGCCGGCCUGAGAGGGUGUCCGGCCACACUGGGACUGAGAUACGGCCCAGACUCCUACGGGAGGCAGCAGUGGGGAAUAUUGCACAAUGGGCGCAAGCCUGAUGCAGCGACGCCGCGUGGGGGAUGACGGCCUUCGGGUUGUAAACCCCUUUCAGCACAGACGAAGCGUAAGUGACGGUAUGUGCAGAAGAAGCACCGGCCAACUACGUG